This 475-nucleotide ribosomal RNA is filed under the name uncultured bacterium. RNAcentral describes it as "bacterial SSU rRNA". It matches the Rfam family "Bacterial small subunit ribosomal RNA", at positions 501 to 975 of the family's 1533-position model. The record is from RNAcentral.
CUACGUGCCAGCAGCCGCGGUAAUACGUAGGGUGCGAGCGUUAAUCGGAAUUACUGGGCGUAAAGCGAGCGCAGACGGUUACUUAAGCAGGAUGUGAAAUCCCCGGGCUUAACCUGGGAACUGCGUUCUGAACUGGGUGACUAGAGUGUGUCAGAGGGAGGUAGAAUUCCACGUGUAGCAGUGAAAUGCGUAGAGAUGUGGAGGAAUACCGAUGGCGAAGGCAGCCUCCUGGGAUAACACUGACGUUCAUGCUCGAAAGCGUGGGUAGCAAACAGGAUUAGAUACCCUGGUAGUCCACGCCCUAAACGAUGUCAAUUAGCUGUUGGGCAACUUGAUUGCUUAGUAGCGUAGCUAACGCGUGAAAUUGACCGCCUGGGGAGUACGGUCGCAAGAUUAAAACUCAAAGGAAUUGACGGGGGCCCGCACAAGCGGUGGAGCAUGUGGWUUAAUUCGAUGCAACGCGAAGAACCUUACC